This 360-nucleotide small RNA is filed under the name Pseudomonas massiliensis. Its description in RNAcentral is "Pseudomonas sRNA CrcZ". It matches the Rfam family "Pseudomonas sRNA CrcZ". The record is from RNAcentral. Lineage: Bacteria; Pseudomonadati; Pseudomonadota; Gammaproteobacteria; Pseudomonadales; Pseudomonadaceae.
CAAAAACAAGAAAAACCCAGCGACACCAUAACAACAAUACAAACGACUCUGACAUAACAAGAACAACCGCGGCAGAGGCGAAGCCAACAGAUCUUUUUGACGAAGGUGCGUUUUCAAGGGCAAUGCCCACGAUCGUUCAAACAUAAGAACAAAACUGCCCUGAGGCAGCCAGUGAACAUCGUACUCACUCGAGAAUGGAUCAGCGCUCAAAAAAAUACGUUUGCUCUUGGCCCUGAGUGGGGGCCGCACAGCGUGCACAGGCAGGCCGACAAAAACAAAAACAGGCCGCCGCAGACCAAUAACGAAAAGUGCACACGACCUUGGGGGGAGCUUCGGCUCCCCUCGCUGCAUUCGCGCCCA